GCCGCGCCGCCGAGGCCAGGGCGCCGCUGCGCGCGGCGGCAGAAGCGUUCGACGCCCUCGGCGCGGUGCC
Molecule: transfer RNA, 70 nt
Filed under: Planotetraspora silvatica
Lineage: Bacteria; Bacillati; Actinomycetota; Actinomycetes; Streptosporangiales; Streptosporangiaceae
Description: tRNA-Arg
Source: RNAcentral